GAGCAUGUAUAGUUAUAUCAGCUUUGCAAAAGCUGAUGAGGAGAAUGCUUUCUUCCAUGCUUU
RNAcentral lists this transfer RNA (63 nucleotides) under Moniezia expansa (sheep tapeworm). Its description in RNAcentral is "tRNA-Cys". The record is from RNAcentral. Lineage: Eukaryota; Metazoa; Platyhelminthes; Cestoda; Cyclophyllidea; Anoplocephalidae.